AGUGAACGCUGGCGGUAGGCCUAACACAUGCCAGUCGAACGGCAGCACAGUAAGAGCUUGCUCUUACGGGUGGCGAGUGGCGGACGGGUGAGGAAUACAUCGGAAUCUACUUUUUCGUGGGGGAUAACGUAGGGAAACUUACGCUAAUACCGCAUACGACCUACGGGUGAAAGCAGGGGAUCUUCGGACCUUGCGCGAUUGAAUGAGCCGAUGUCGGAUUAGCUAGUUGGCGGGGUAAAGGCCCACCAAGGCGACGAUCCGUAGCUGGUCUGAGAGGAUGAUCAACCACACUGGAACUGAGACACGGUCCAGACUCCUACGGGAGGCAGCAGUGGGGAAUAUUGGACAAUGGGCGCAAGCCUGAUCCAGCCAUACCGCGUGGGUGAAGAAGGCCUUCGGGUUGUAAAGCCCUUUUGUUGGGAAAGAAAAGCAGCAGGUUAAUACCCCGCUGUUCUGACGGUACCCAAAGAAUAAGCACCGGCUAACUUCGUG
This 492-nucleotide ribosomal RNA is filed under the name uncultured bacterium. RNAcentral describes it as "partial 16S ribosomal RNA". It matches the Rfam family "Bacterial small subunit ribosomal RNA", at positions 29 to 507 of the family's 1533-position model. The record is from RNAcentral.